This 676-nucleotide ribosomal RNA is filed under the name uncultured bacterium. RNAcentral's name for it is "bacterial SSU rRNA". It matches the Rfam family "Bacterial small subunit ribosomal RNA", at positions 55 to 737 of the family's 1533-position model. The record is from RNAcentral.
ACGGAGUUCUUGAGGAAUGCGGCUUCGGCCAAAUGACUUUUGAACUUAGUGGCGGACGGGUGAGUAACGCGUGAGCAACCUGCCUUUCAGAGGGGGAUAACAUUUGGAAACAGAUGCUAAUACCGCAUAAGAUUACAGUACCGCAUGAUACAGUGAUCAAAGGAGCAAUCCGCUGAAAGAUGGGCUCGCGUCCGAUUAGAUAGUUGGUGAGGUAACGGCUCACCAAGUCGACGAUCGGUAGCCGGACUGAGAGGUUGAACGGCCACACUGGGACUGAGACACGGCCCAGACUCCUACGGGAGGCAGCAGUGGGGAAUAUUGCACAAUGGGCGAAAGCCUGAUGCAGCAACGCCGCGUGAGGGAAGACGGUUUUCGGAUUGUAAACCUCUGUUUUCGGUGACGAAUAAAUGACGGUAACCGAGUAGGAAGCCACGGCUAACUACGUGCCAGCAGCCGCGGUAAUACGUAGGUGGCAAGCGUUAUCCGGAAUUACUGGGUGUAAAGGGAGCGCAGGCGGGAUAGCAAGUCAGCUGUGAAAACUAUGGGCUCAACCCAUAAACUGCAGUUGAAACUGUUAUUCUUGAGUGGAGUAGAGGCAAGCGGAAUUCCGAGUGUAGCGGUGAAAUGCGUAGAUAUUCGGAGGAACACCAGUGGCGAAGGCGGCUUGCUGGGCUCU